RNAcentral lists this ribosomal RNA (463 nucleotides) under uncultured bacterium. RNAcentral describes it as "partial 16S ribosomal RNA". It matches the Rfam family "Bacterial small subunit ribosomal RNA", at positions 28 to 507 of the family's 1533-position model. The record is from RNAcentral.
GACGAACGCUGGCGGCGUGCUUAACACAUGCAAGUCGAACGGAAAGGCCUUUUCGGAGGUACUCGAGUGGCGAACGGGUGAGUAACACGUGGGUGAUCUGCCCUGCACUCUGGGAUAAGCCUGGGAAACUGGGUCUAAUACCGGAUAGGACCGCACUUUAGUGUGUGUGGUGGAAAGUUUUUUCGGUGUAGGAUGAGCCCGCGGCCUAUCAGCUUGUUGGUGGGGUAAUGGCCUACCAAGGCGGCGACGGGUAGCCGGACUGAGAGGUUGGUCGGCCACAUUGGGACUGAGAUACGGCCCAGACUCCUACGGGAGGCAGCAGUGGGGAAUACUGCACAAUGGGCGCAAGCCUGAUGCAGCGACGCCGCGGGGGGGAUGACGGCCUUCGGGUUGUAAACUCCUUUCGCCAGGGACGAAGCGUUUUGUGACGGUACCUGGAGAAGAAGCACCGGCUAACUACGUG